RNAcentral lists this ribosomal RNA (1291 nucleotides) under Phocaeicola vulgatus. RNAcentral describes it as "partial 16S ribosomal RNA". The record is from RNAcentral. Lineage: Bacteria; Pseudomonadati; Bacteroidota; Bacteroidia; Bacteroidales; Bacteroidaceae.
CUCGCGGUUACGCACUUCAGGUACCCCCGGCUCCCAUGGCUUGACGGGCGGUGUGUACAAGGCCCGGGAACGUAUUCACCGCGCCGUGGCUGAUGCGCGAUUACUAGCGAAUCCAGCUUCGUGGAGUCGGGUUGCAGACUCCAGUCCGAACUGAGAGAGGUUUUGGGGAUUGGCAUCCACUCGCGUGGUAGCGGCCCUCUGUACCCCCCAUUGUAACACGUGUGUAGCCCCGGACGUAAGGGCCGUGCUGAUUUGACGUCAUCCCCACCUUCCUCACAUCUUACGAUGGCAGUCUUGUCAGAGUCCUCAGCGGAACCUGUUAGUAACUGACAACAAGGGUUGCGCUCGUUAUGGCACUUAAGCCGACACCUCACGGCACGAGCUGACGACAACCAUGCAGCACCUUCACAGAUGCCUUGCGGCUUACGGCUUUCACCGUAAUUCAUCUGCAAUUUAAGCCCGGGUAAGGUUCCUCGCGUAUCAUCGAAUUAAACCACAUGUUCCUCCGCUUGUGCGGGCCCCCGUCAAUUCCUUUGAGUUUCACCGUUGCCGGCGUACUCCCCAGGUGGAAUACUUAACGCUUUCGCUUGGCCGCUUGCUGUAUAUCGCAAACAGCGAGUAUUCAUCGUUUACCGUGUGGACUACCAGGGUAUCUAAUCCUGUUUGAUACCCACACUUUCGAGCCUCAAUGUCAGUUGCAGCUUAGCAGGCUGCCUUCGCAAUCGGAGUUCUUCGUGAUAUCUAAGCAUUUCACCGCUACACCACGAAUUCCGCCUGCCUCAACUGCACUCAAGAUAUCCAGUAUCAACUGCAAUUUUACGGUUGAGCCGCAAACUUUCACAACUGACUUAAACAUCCAUCUACGCUCCCUUUAAACCCAAUAAAUCCGGAUAACGCUCGGAUCCUCCGUAUUACCGCGGCUGCUGGCACGGAGUUAGCCGAUCCUUAUUCAUAAAGUACAUGCAAACGGGUAUCCAUACCCGACUUUAUUCCUUUAUAAAAGAAGUUUACAACCCAUAGGGCAGUCAUCCUUCACGCUACUUGGCUGGUUCAGGCUCUCGCCCAUUGACCAAUAUUCCUCACUGCUGCCUCCCGUAGGAGUUUGGACCGUGUCUCAGUUCCAAUGUGGGGGACCUUCCUCUCAGAACCCCUAUCCAUCGAAGACUAGGUGGGCCGUUACCCCGCCUACUAUCUAAUGGAACGCAUCCCCAUCGUCUACCGGAAUACCUUUAAUCAUGUGAACAUGUGNACUCAUGAUGCCAUCUUGUAUUAAUCUUCCUUUCAGAAGGCU